CAGCCGCCGCGGUAAUACGAAGGGUGCAAGCGUUAAUCGGAAUUACUGGGCGUAAAGCGUGCGUAGGCGGUGAGUUAAGUCUGCUGUGAAAUCCCCGGGCUCAACCUGGGAAUGGCAGUGGAUACUGGCUCGCUAGAGUGUGUCAGAGGAUGGUGGAAUUCCCGGUGUAGCGGUGUAAUGCGUAGAGAUCGGGAGGAACAUCAGUGGCGAAGGCGGCCAUCUGGGACAACACUGACGCUGAGGCACGAAAGCGUGGGGAGCAAACAGGAUUAGAUACCCGCGUAGUCCCUGUCUCUAUACA
Molecule: ribosomal RNA, 301 nt
Filed under: uncultured bacterium
Lineage: Bacteria
Description: partial 16S ribosomal RNA
Rfam family: Bacterial small subunit ribosomal RNA
Source: RNAcentral